CCUACGGGACGCAGCAGUGGGGGAUAUUGCACAAUGGGGGAAACCCUGAUGCAGCGACGCCGCGUGGGUGAAGAAGCGCCUCGGCGCGUAAAGCCCUGUCAGCAGGGAAGAAAAUGACGGUACCUGAAGAAGAAGCCCCGGCUAACUACGUGCCAGCAGCCGCGGUAAUACGUAGGGGGCAAGCGUUAUCCGGAUUUACUGGGUGUAAAGGGAGCGUAGGCGGGGAUGCAAGUUGGGUGUCAAAACUACCG
RNAcentral lists this ribosomal RNA (251 nucleotides) under uncultured bacterium. Its description in RNAcentral is "partial 16S ribosomal RNA". It matches the Rfam family "Bacterial small subunit ribosomal RNA", at positions 338 to 606 of the family's 1533-position model. The record is from RNAcentral.